UGGUGGCUAUAGCAAGGAGGUCACACCUGUUCCCAUGCCGAACACAGAAGUUAAGCUCCUUAGCGUCGAUGGUAGUUGGACUUACGUUCAGCUAGAGUAGAACGUUGCCAGGCA
Molecule: ribosomal RNA, 114 nt
Filed under: Staphylococcus argenteus
Lineage: Bacteria; Bacillati; Bacillota; Bacilli; Caryophanales; Staphylococcaceae
Source: RNAcentral